ACGCACGCUGGCGGCGUGCUUAACACAUGCCAGUCGCACGGAAAGGCCCUGCUUUUGUGGGGUGCUCGAGUGGCGAACGGGUGAGUAACACGUGAGUAACCUGCCCUUGACUUUGGGAUAACUUCAGGAAACUGGGGCUAAUACCGGAUAGGAGCUCCUGCUGCAUGGUGGGGGUUGGAAAGUUUCGGCGGUUGGGGAUGGACUCGCGGCUUAUCAGCUUGUUGGUGGGGUAGUGGCUUACCAAGGCUUUGACGGGUAGCCGGCCUGAGAGGGUGACCGGCCACAUUGGGACUGAGAUACGGCCCAGACUCCUACGGGAGGCAGCAGUGGGGAAUAGUGCACAAUGGGCGGAAGCCUGAUGCAGCAACGCCGCGUGCGGGAUGACGGCCUUCGGGUUGUAAACCGCUUUCGCCUGUGACGAAGCGUGAGUGACGGUAAUGGGUAAAGAAGCACCGGCUAACUACGUG
Molecule: ribosomal RNA, 467 nt
Filed under: uncultured bacterium
Lineage: Bacteria
Description: partial 16S ribosomal RNA
Rfam family: Bacterial small subunit ribosomal RNA
Source: RNAcentral